CCAGCGGCAGCACCAGCCGGGGCUUGGCCACCGCAUCCCAUCAGCCCCCGGCAUUCGCCUCCUCGGGUCCUUCCUCCAGUCCUGGCACGACGCACGCUAGCUCAGGUGCGCUGACGGCAGAGGGGGCGACGCACGGCCCGGCUGAGACCUCACCCAGCUCAAAGGCGCCUGCUUCCGUGGUGCCCGGCCCCUCCACGACCUCAGACACGGCAGAGGCAAGCCUUUCCUCCGUGCUGGCUCGCAGUGCGGACCCGCAGGCAGCAGCCGUCACCUUGAGCUCCCUCCGCCAGGGAAAGGCCGCCACGGAGGUUGGGGCCACCUCGUUGUCCGCGGGGAGCCCGUUGCCUGCCACGGCUACCGCCUCCGCUCCUAGCGCUACCACGCCUCCUCCGGGCCGAGGUGGAAGUGCCACCACGAGCCAAGCGAGCGACGCCACGGCUGACCUGGGCGCCAAGACGUCCCUUCCCCUUCCCGCCACGUCACCGCUGACCGCAUCCGCGGUAGAGGCGGAGAGCGGCAGAGCGAGGACGGAGCCUGCGCCGGCCGCCUUAGGCGGGCGCUUUGCAGCUACGACGGCGAGCUCACUCGGAGCAUCUGCCGGGAGCGAGGCCCCGAGUGCCUCCUUCGCAAGCCGGAGGCCUGAGUCUACUGCGCCAGGCGUGGUGAGAGCGAGCGGGCGGGCUGGCUCCGUGUCCCUGGACCCCAGCUCUGCGGCAGGGAGCGUCUCUUCCACCUCUCUUCGCAGCUCCUCAAGGGCGCUUGCCAGCAGGCAGCCAAGCAGCACCAGCGGCAGCACCAGCCGGGGCUUGGCCACCGCAUCCCAUCAGCCCCCGGCAUUCGUGUCCUUUAGUUUAACAGCCACCUCUCGCCUCUCAGAAACGACUGCUUCCCUUUUGACUUCCAAACCAAAUCUGCCUACAAGAAUCUCCACUAUGAUAGUGAUUUCUCCAAUUACUGAUUUACAUAAUAACAUAACUAGCCUUAAAGGAAGCUCUGCAGUUUCCACGAAGAGUUCCAUUCGGUUCACAUCUGUAAAUGCAUCUUUACCAGAAACUUGCUCCCCUAUCACUUUCUCUAUACACCUGGAGAACGUGACCAGCACAAUGAUACAAUUCAACUGGAGACCUCUAGGCGGCGGAAGAGACAGUCCUUACACAGUGCGUCUGUGGGGAGGCUCUAGAGUGAGAGAGGAGAAAAGCAUAAAUGAAACAAGUACUGCAUUUCGAAAGCUGCUUCCUGAUCAUGAAUACCAAAUAUCCGUGGACGUUUUAACUUGCUCUAAGAAUGUCAGUACCUCGAUGACAGUUCGGACAGCUGCUAAAGUCUUCAAUGGAACCACUAGGAUUCUCAAUGAAGAUUUUAUACCUGAAUAUCAGAACAGAUCAAGUACAGCAUUUAAGGAGUUUGAAACUAAGUUCAUUAAGGAGAUUGAGGAACAGCUGCCAAAGGAGAUCUGAA
This 1458-nucleotide long non-coding RNA is filed under the name Struthio camelus australis. RNAcentral's name for it is "lncRNA (ENSSCUG00000012070.1)". The record is from RNAcentral. Lineage: Eukaryota; Metazoa; Chordata; Aves; Struthioniformes; Struthionidae.